RNAcentral lists this ribosomal RNA (465 nucleotides) under Vreelandella stevensii. RNAcentral describes it as "partial 16S ribosomal RNA". It matches the Rfam family "Bacterial small subunit ribosomal RNA", at positions 338 to 795 of the family's 1533-position model. The record is from RNAcentral. Lineage: Bacteria; Pseudomonadati; Pseudomonadota; Gammaproteobacteria; Oceanospirillales; Halomonadaceae.
CCUACGGGUGGCAGCAGUGGGGAAUAUUGGACAAUGGGGGCAACCCUGAUCCAGCCAUGCCGCGUGUGUGAAGAAGGCCCUCGGGUUGUAAAGCACUUUCAGUGAGGAAGAACGCCUGGUGGUUAAUACCCAUCAGGAAAGAUAUCACUCACAGAAGAAGCACCGGCUAACUCCGUGCCAGCAGCCGCGGUAAUACGGAGGGUGCGAGCGUUAAUCGGAAUUACUGGGCGUAAAGCGCGCGUAGGUGGCUUGAUAAGCCGGUUGUGAAAGCCCCGGGCUCAACCUGGGAACGGCAUCCGGAACUGUCAAGCUAGAGUGCAGGAGAGGAAGGUAGAAUUCCCGGUGUAGCGGUGAAAUGCGUAGAGAUCGGGAGGAAUACCAGUGGCGAAGGCGGCCUUCUGGACUGACACUGACACUGAGGUGCGAAAGCGUGGGUAGCAAACAGGAUUAGAUACCCGGGUAGUC